UGGGGAAUGAGUGUAGGAUGAGAGAUGGAAGAGGGAAUGUUAUUGUUGUUGGGAAUGCUGGUGGAUAUGGAAGAGGGAAUCGGGGAAGAGGCAAUUUGCAAGGGAUGAGACUUGGAAGAGGGAAUGAUCAUAACAUUGUUGUUAGGAAUGCUGGUGGUUAUGGAAGAGGCAAUAUGCAAGGGAUGGGAAAUAGAGGGCUAGCUGAUCCAAUGUGGAAUAGGGGACCUAGUGCAGUGGGUGGAAGACGUAUGAUCGGGAAUGGCGGAAAUGGAUUUGGGCAAGGCAUUGGUGGGGCCCCUCCUUUGGUGCAUCCUCUCUCAAUCGGAUUUGGUUUGGAGUUCGGUGCACCUAAUUAGGGGAGGAUGGGCAGUUAUGGGAGCUUUCUUGGUGCUCCAUCGCCUCCAUUUUCAGGAGAAUCCAGCUCAAGCAAUUGGAUGUGAAAAGGUCUGGGGUGCAUCUGGUGUUACCACAUGUGGAAGAAGGGGAAGAUAUCAAUCCAAGUACAAAUGAAUCCAGUAGCUUUAAUUUUUUGGAUUCGGAUGAAUUCCCUCAAGGUUUUGUCAGAUCACAUCCUUUUACUCCUUUGGAUUCGGAUGAAUUCCCUCAAGUUCCUGUUGCAAGUAAUGAAGAUGAAUGACAACCAGCGGAAUUCAAAUUCUUACGAAAGUGAAACACCCAUAUCUUGUACCUUCAUUUUGUGAAUAUAUUGAAUGUUGGUUUUCAGGGAACCCCCACAUUAAGUAGAAAGUAGAAUCGUAGUAUCGAUGAUAUGAGAAGGGAAGACGCCAAGGCAUUGCAACAAACUGGCACUAAACCAUAUUGGCAUUGAUGCAUGCACAAGAUAUGUGGACUUGAGCGGAACUAGUAUCGAAAGAGAUACCGAGUGGAGCUUUUGGAAACGCCCUUCAAUGGCUAAAGUUGAGGAGUUAAAAGCUGCAAAGCUCUAGAGUUCUUGAGCAUUCUCAGCUGGGGCAGAGUGUAGAGACCCUCUGUUUCUGGGAGAUUUUCGAACCACCUGCCAUUGAAGAUUCAAAAGUUUCAUAUCUUGCCAGCCAUCUAUCUCGAAGGCCAACUAAAGAAGGGUUGAAACUUGCCAAAGGGAAGGGCCUUUUCAGAAAGGAGAGGAAACAGCUUACACAGAUCACGACUGAUAUUUCCAGAGUCUUGUGAAUUGAGACGCAGAAGAUCUGGAUGAGUUUAUGAGCAAGGUUAUGCUUGAUACCGAUCUGUUGAACGAUGAAAUUUGCGACUAUGCCGCUUUGGGAAGCUGUUCAUUGAUGAUCAUAUUUUGGAGAACAUUAGCAGGUUGAUUUUGUAAAAGCAUUCCUCCAUUAUUUGGUGUUAUCCUGGCCAUUUAAUUUAUCACUCAAGAGGAGUCACUUUCAGAAGCUUCAACAAGCCUGUAGAGAUGGAGGGUUAUUUGGUAAGGGAAUUCUUGUUUGUUAAAAAUAACAGUUCGGAGAUACUUAAGUUAUUGUAGGAACAUGUAAAACAUUCUUUAGAAUUGCAUCAGUUAGAAUGUAUUAUUUUCCAGGCUCAGUUAGAGAGGCCAUGAACCUGUUGAAGCUAUGAAGGCAGAGUUCUGUAAUCUGUACAUGGUUCCUAUAAUACCAAACCUCUGCAGAAAGUUAUAUUUUCAACGAAGCGGGCAUCUGGAUCUA
This is a long non-coding RNA of Pistacia vera, 1661 nucleotides long. RefSeq lists it as uncharacterized. The transcript is spliced from 8 exons. Lineage: Eukaryota; Viridiplantae; Streptophyta; Magnoliopsida; Sapindales; Anacardiaceae. The record is from RefSeq and is a predicted model, not a curated record.